This is a long non-coding RNA of Sinocyclocheilus grahami, 333 nucleotides long. The record is from Ensembl. Lineage: Eukaryota; Metazoa; Chordata; Actinopteri; Cypriniformes; Cyprinidae.
CUGCUCAUUCUGUAAUUUCUUGUAAAUAUCAGGGUAAACCAGGCGAUCCAGGAUUUGAUGGGCCUCCUGGUCCUAAAGGAUCUAAAGGAGGGGCAGGUUUAAAUGGACGUCCAGGAUUAGAGGGUCUGAGGGGAAGACCAGGAUCAAAAGGAGAAAAGGGCGGGAAAGGAGAAUGUGGCGCCCCAGGGAUGAAAGGAGAUCAAGGCCUGGACGGACCCCCAGGACCACGUGGACCACGAGGCGAUCAGGUUGCCUUUAUCAAGUUUGUGAUAUAUGCAUGAAUUUACCUUGAUUUAUCAUUAUGAUUUGUUGCGUUGUGGCAUUAUUUCGGUG